GAUGAAGAACGCAGCGAAAUGCGAUACUUGGUGUGAAUUGCAGAAUCCCGUGAACCAUCGAGUCUUUGAACGCAAGUUGCGCCCGAAGCCAUUAGGCCGAGGGCACGCCUGCCUGGGCGUCACACGUCGUUGCCCCCCCAUCUACUCCUUCGGGAUUGCGGGGGGCGGAUGAUGGCCUCCCGUGCGCCUCGUCGCGCGGUUGGCAUAAAUGCCAAGUCCUCGGCGACGCACGCCACGACAAUCGGUGGUUGCGAAACCUCGGUUGCCCGUCGUGUGCGGUCGUCGCGCAUCGAGGGCACGAAAAAAUUGCCGGGCUCCGGCUCGGCUUUCAACGCGACCCCAGGUCAGGCGGGGUUACCCGCUGAAUUUAAGCAUAUCAAUAAGCGGAGGA
Molecule: unclassified non-coding RNA, 391 nt
Filed under: soil metagenome
Description: partial contains 5.8S ribosomal RNA, internal transcribed spacer 2, and large subunit ribosomal RNA
Rfam family: 5.8S ribosomal RNA (bases 1-122)
Source: RNAcentral